CAAAAACCUACAGCAAAUAUUUUCUUUUCUUUUUUAAUUGAGAUAUAGUUGAUUUACAGUAUUAUAUAAUUUCAGGGACUUCCCUGGUGGCGCAGUGGUUAAGAAUCCACCUGUCAAUGCAGGGGAUACAGGUUCGAGCCCUGGUCUGUGAAGAUCCCACAUGCUGCGGAGCAACUAAGCCCGUGCGCCACAACUAUUGAAGUCUGUGCACCUAGAGCCCGUGCUCUGCAACAAGAGAAGCCACUGCAAUGAGAAGCCCGCGCACCACAACCCCCACUGGACACAACUAGAGAAAGCCCAGUGAAGUUUUCCAGUGGUUAUGUGACAUGUGAUUACAUCGUUGCCCUGAUAUCUAAUGGAAUGGGUUCUUGUACUUUCUAGAAUUUUCUAAGGAUACAGCAAGAAGGCAUCCAUCUGCAAACCAGGAAGUGGGCUCUCACCAAGAACUGAACCAGCCAGCCUCUUGAUCUUGGACUCCUCAGCCUCCAGAACUACGUGAAAUAAAUGUUUUUUGUUUAAGCCA
Long non-coding RNA from Balaenoptera ricei (Rice's whale), 523 nucleotides. RefSeq lists it as uncharacterized. The transcript is spliced from 3 exons. The record is from RefSeq and is a predicted model, not a curated record. NCBI's taxonomy places the organism in Eukaryota, Metazoa, Chordata, Mammalia, Artiodactyla, Balaenopteridae.